UACGGGGGGGGCAAGCGUUGUUCGGAAUUACUGGGCGUAAAGGGCUCGUAGGCGGUCAACUAAGUCAGACGUGAAAUCCCUCGGCUUAACCGGGGAACUGCGUCUGAUACUGGAUGGCUUGAGGUUGGGAGAGGGAUGCGGAAUUCCAGGUGUAGCGGUGAAAUGCGUAGAUAUCUGGAGGAACACCGGUGGCGAAGGCGGCAUCCUGGACCAAUUCUGACGCUGAGGAGCGAAAGCCAGGGGAGCAAACCGG
This 253-nucleotide ribosomal RNA is filed under the name uncultured bacterium. RNAcentral's name for it is "partial 16S ribosomal RNA". It matches the Rfam family "Bacterial small subunit ribosomal RNA", at positions 524 to 776 of the family's 1533-position model. The record is from RNAcentral.